GUUCCACCUUCUCCUCCAAGCUGCAAAAUGCUGUUUCAGAGUGCUGGAGAGGGCCGGAGGAGGAGGCAGUGGGCGUAAGCUGGUGCAUGAGGAAGUCUUCAUAAAGCUCAGCAUUGAGCUUGAGCGGGUGGAAUUUGGAAACUCAGGCCCCAACCCUGUGUCUAGAGCCCCCUGUUGAGCCAUAGAACUGGAAUUUGAUUCUGCUGCUCACAAGGAAUGAGAUGGAGAUGAAACCAGGAUGUGGAGCAGCCCUCAUCCGGCAGCGCCCGCGCCCCAGGCGCGAGCUGACGCCCCAUGGAUUUCCAGCCGGGAGCUGCUCCAGAGCCUGAGGAUCCCAUGGGAAAACACGGACGGAAGAAAAGGCCUGAAUGGACAUCUGGGACCAAAAUACCCCAAAUAAAUAUUUACUGACAUCUAACUC
This is a long non-coding RNA of Oxyura jamaicensis (ruddy duck), 421 nucleotides long. RefSeq lists it as uncharacterized. The record is from RefSeq and is a predicted model, not a curated record. Lineage: Eukaryota; Metazoa; Chordata; Aves; Anseriformes; Anatidae. The transcript is spliced from 2 exons.